CAGUCGCCGCGUUAAUACAGAGGGUGCGAGCGUUAAUCGGAUUUACUGGGCGUAAAGCGUGCGUAGGCGGCUUUUUAAGUCGGAUGUGAAAUCCCUGAGCUUAACUUAGGAAUUGCAUUCGAUACUGGGAAGCUAGAGUAUGGGAGAGGAUGGUAGAAUUCCAGGUGUAGCGGUGAAAUGCGUAGAGAUCUGGAGGAAUACCGAUGGCGAAGGCAGCCAUCUGGCCUAAUACUGACGCUGAGGUACGAAAGCAUGGGGAGCAAACAGGAUUAGAUACCCCUGUAGUCCCUGUCUCUUAUAC
RNAcentral lists this ribosomal RNA (301 nucleotides) under uncultured bacterium. RNAcentral's name for it is "partial 16S ribosomal RNA". It matches the Rfam family "Bacterial small subunit ribosomal RNA", at positions 509 to 807 of the family's 1533-position model. The record is from RNAcentral.